AUCUUUCAAAAAAAUAAAAGUAAGAUAGCGUCACAGAGAUAGAGAGGUGGUCAUUCAUGGCGGUUUUGGGUUGUCUAACAUGUAUGCUGUCUCCAAUUCUACGCAAUCAAAUCCCACCUUCAAAUUCAAACAACUCCCAUCUUUUGACAAGGCGUAAAGCCUUGACCUUUACUACUUCUAUUGCUGCCUUUUACUUUCAUUUUUGUCAAAAUUCAGAUAUUUCUGGUUUUUCCCCUGCCAUUGCCCAACAAGUGGAUGAACUUCAACAAGAAGAAGAUCGGGAUGUUCAACUCUUCCAGGGAACUUCAUCUUCUGUUGUAUUCAUUAAAGACCUUGAAUUAGCUAGAAUCCCCAAGAGUACCUCUGAAACUCUGCUAGCUGAGGAUGAGAAUGCAAAAGUGCAAGGGACAGGUUCAGGUUUCAUCUGGGAUAAGUUUGGUCACAUUGUGACGAACUAUCAUGUAGUCGCUAAAUUGGCUACAGAUAGAAGUGGCUUACAACUUUGUAAGGUAUCUUUGGUUGAUGCAAACGGUAACAGCAUUACUAGCGAAGGCAAGAUUGUUGGAUUUGAUCCAGACUAUGAUUUGGCAGUCCUUAAGGUUGAUCUCAAAGGAAAUGAACUGAAGCCAGUUACUCUUGGUACAUCUCGUCAUUUACACGUGGGUCAAAGCUGCUUUGCAAUCGGAAAUCCAUAUGGAUAUGAGAACACUUUAACAACAGGGGUUAUAAGUGGAUUGGGCAGGGAGAUCCCCUCACCAAAUGGAAAAUCCAUUCGAGGAGCCAUUCAAACAGAUGCUGCUAUUAAUGCAGUGCAGGGAAUUCAGGUGGACCAUUGAUUGAUUCCUAUGGUCAUGUUAUUGGUAUUAAUACAGCCACGUUCACUCGCAAGGGUACUGGGAUGUCAUCUGGUGUGAACUUUGCAAUACCAAUUGACACAGUCGUCCGCAUUAUACCUUAUCUGAUUGUCUAUGGAACACCUUAUACCGACAGAUACUGACAGCAUCCUGUCCUCAUAGGUGAUCUUUUUUUCAAUUUGCUUGUUCUCAAACUGGUUUUCCAGGAGGACGAUGUACUGGAUAAAAGCACCAGGCCUCGCGUGGAAACCCUUCUGUUUUCAGUGGAUCCACGUUCGCCUCUUAAUUUCUUCUCUUUAUUAGAAGAAGAUAGUAGCCUUAUCUUGUCUAUUCUCUGAUAAGUGGGAUGCUAAGAUCAAAUAUAAUUCAUUCUGAACAGUAAUAUUUUCGUUGUUUUUUACUGUUGUUGUGGGUUCUUUAGUAUUGACAAUUGAGAUGAAAUUGACAUGUAAAAUUAGCUGCCAUAUAAUCAUUAAACAAAAGCAUAAACAAGAAAUAUUUUUUUGCUA
This is an RNA transcript of Olea europaea var. sylvestris, 1363 nucleotides long. It is a transcript of the gene named protease Do-like 5, chloroplastic, with no coding region annotated. Lineage: Eukaryota; Viridiplantae; Streptophyta; Magnoliopsida; Lamiales; Oleaceae. The record is from RefSeq and is a predicted model, not a curated record. The transcript has 8 exons.